Molecule: long non-coding RNA, 2346 nt
Filed under: Amborella trichopoda
Lineage: Eukaryota; Viridiplantae; Streptophyta; Magnoliopsida; Amborellales; Amborellaceae
Description: long non-coding RNA (ATRI_LNC000530)
Source: RNAcentral
UUUUAUAUUUUUUAAGACUAAUCCAUUUUUAUUACGACUGUUCUAUUUUUUACAACGUAAUUUAUCAACAAUUAUUUAAAUUAUAUAAUUAAUUAGUUUCUUAUACUAACUAAGUAAUCACUAUUGUUAUAACUUAUAAGGGAAAAGUUUAGAUAGAGCGAGGCUCUAAACAAAAAAAUUUAAGCCUACCUCAAAAAUUUCACUAGAAGAUGUUGUUUUGAAGUCCAUAUAUCUUCAAAUUGAUCAUCUCGACAUUAAGAUACAUGGACAUGAGAACAAAAUGGAUUGUAAGUUUUGAAAAUAGUGUAUUUUGUAAUGCACUUUUGGGCCGUCAAUUUUCAAGAUUUUUAAGUUUUCAUAGAUAUGUCGAUCUAUACUAUUUUUUUAAGAUUUAAACUUUAUAAAUAAAUAUGAAAAUAUAUUUUAAAGAUGUCACAAAGAUUUUUAAUAUUGAAACCACAUUUCUCGACACUAUUUGAAGGUUGGCUUUAAUUUAAUGUUAUAAUAUUAAAACUUUCGAUAUAUAUAAAUACUAUUAGUUGUAUUAAUAAUAUAAUUUUAAUACAUGUUCCAAAAAUAUAAAUAUUAUAAUAACCACAAAAUAAUUAAAUAUUAUGAUAAUUAUUUAUUAAUAGUAAGCAAAUCCUAACUUUAUUUAUAAAGAUGAAGUUUGAGAGUUAAGUUUGUGUUGUUUUAGAAAGUUUAUGCAUUGAGGAAAAUUUGAAUGUUAUUUUAGAAUGUAUGAGAAGGCUUAUGCAUAAAAAAUGAUAAUAUAAUGAUAUAUUAAUUUCUGACUUGAAUUAAUUGAUGGGAAAAUGAUUUAGGAAGUGGGGGAUAAUGAUUCUAAUACCUUCGAUAGGAUGUUGAUGGUCUAUUUAUAGAAUGGAGAGCUUAUAUUUCUUACCCUAUAAGUAACUCAAGAUCAAAGGUGUUCUAUUAAAUCUAACAUGAUGGGCAAGCCAAAGAAAAUACUAAAAAACCUUAAUCUUGUUUUGGCACUAUAAAAACAGGUUCUUUCCAUCUCUUCUUUAAAAACUCCCAAAGGGGGCACACCCCACUCUACGUUAUUUCUCUCUCUUAAAAAAGUUUUUUUUUUCUCUCUUGAAAGGUCCAAUGGGCGGUAGCCCCCACUCUCUCUCAUCUCAUGGUUUCUCUCUCAUGGUGUCUCUCAUCUUCUCUGAUCUCACAUUAGGGUUAAGGUCCAUAGGGUUGUAGUAGAUAGAGAAGUAUAUCUCUCAAACUAGGUUAUCAAGGGGGUUCACCGAAGGGUUUGAGAUUUGUGAUUAAAGGGUUCAUGUUUCAUUGGUGUGGCUUGUCCAAAUUUGUUUUUCCAGUUGAGAUUGAAGGUUGACUAUAAAAUCCCAUACUAUCGGAAGGUGGUGACUCGGUGUUAGAUGUAAGAAGCCCGGUUAAAGUAAUUUCCACACCCUUUUUUAUUUAUUGCAUAUUUAUUUAUUAUGUCUUUUAUUUCCAAUCAUAGGUUGUGUAUUUUCUUUGUUAUUAAAAGAAAUGUUUUUGAAUGACUUCAAGUUCUUGAGAUCUUAUUGUAUUAUUUUAUUUUAUUUUUAUUUAAAAUUAUUAUAUUAAAAAAAUACUACUUGUGAGUGAUCUAGGCUAUGAAGAAAAAAAAAAAAAUUAUAUAUUCCGACUAGAUUACACAAAUCCUUAAAAGGUUGAUUGAGCUAAAAACGUUCAAAAUAAGAUAUGAAAAACAUAGAAGAAAAGGGCAUUAUUGAUUAUUCACUGAGAUCAUUCCCAAAGAUUGUAAAAAAUAAUAAUCCACCCAUUAAAGUCAUUCUAUUUGAUUCCAUCGAUUACUAUCCUUUAAACAAAUCGACAAACAGAGUGCUAUUCACUGAGAUCAUUCCAAAGGAUUGUAAAAACCUUCCACCCAUUAAGGUCAUUUCAUUUGAUUCCAUCAACUACUGUCCUUUAAACAAACCGACAAACAGUCAUUCUAUAUCCGGAUAAUAAAAUGAGGUUUUUCUGUCAAUUUGGCUUUUAUUUUCGAAUAUAUGCACCUCAUCGACGGGUGAUAAGGAUCUAAAAGUCCGCAGAUCAAACAAUCCACCUAACCAAUUUUUUUUUUUUUUGGCGUACUAGCUAAAUGUAAAAAUCUAAUUUUGGAUUAGUGCCAUAAGUUGACGUUGGCCUUGCCGUAACAAUAAAUCUUUUGUUUUCAUGUAAUUUUGGAAGCAAAGCGAAGGUGGGAGAGAUCAAGACAAAAAGUGAAGAACAAAGGAUGUCAGUCCAAGACCCGGCCAAAAAUUGGUGAGCGAUAAAGGAGGGGAGGAAAGAGUGGGAGUCCCAUCAAGGGGACAUGAAAUGAUACUAUAAUAAACUGAC